Molecule: ribosomal RNA, 239 nt
Filed under: uncultured bacterium
Lineage: Bacteria
Description: partial 16S ribosomal RNA
Rfam family: Bacterial small subunit ribosomal RNA
Source: RNAcentral
GAUCUUAUGGCUCAGAUUGAACGCUGGCGGCAGGCUUAACACAUGCAAGUCGAACGGUAACAUAAAGGAGCUUGCUUCUUUGAUGACGAGUGGCGGACGGGUGAGUAAUGCUUGGGAAUCUAGCUUAUGGAGGGGGAUAACUACGGGAAACUGUAGCUAAUACCGCGUAGAAUCGAGAGAUGAAAGUGUGGGACCUUCGGGCCACAUGCCAUAGGAUGAGCCCAAGUGGGAUUAGGUAG